This 94-nucleotide transfer RNA is filed under the name Pseudomonadota bacterium. RNAcentral describes it as "Proteobacteria bacterium (cold seep metagenome) tRNA-Ser". It matches the Rfam family "tRNA". Rfam says of the family: Transfer RNA (tRNA) molecules are approximately 80 nucleotides in length. Their secondary structure includes four short double-helical elements and three loops (D, anti-codon, and T loops). RNAcentral also lists the same sequence under 4 other names. The record is from RNAcentral. Lineage: Bacteria; Pseudomonadati; Pseudomonadota.
GGAGAGAUGUCCGAGAGGCUGAAGGAGCACGACUGGAAAUCGUGUGUAUGCCCACAAAGGUGUACCGGGGGUUCGAAUCCCCCUCUCUCCGCCA